RNAcentral lists this ribosomal RNA (442 nucleotides) under Neoscytalidium dimidiatum. Its description in RNAcentral is "eukaryotic LSU rRNA". The stretch from base 121 to 274 matches the Rfam family "5.8S ribosomal RNA". Lineage: Eukaryota; Fungi; Ascomycota; Dothideomycetes; Botryosphaeriales; Botryosphaeriaceae. The record is from RNAcentral.
CUUUGGCGGGCCGCGGUCCUCCGCGGCCGCCCUCCGUCCGGGGGGUGGCCAGCGCCCGCCAGAGGACCAUCAAACUCCGGUCAGUGAACGUUGCCGUCUGAAAAACAAUCAAUAAACUAAAACUUUCAACAACGGAUCUCUUGGUUCUGGCAUCGAUGAAGAACGCAGCGAAAUGCGAUAAGUAAUGUGAAUUGCAGAAUUCAGUGAAUCAUCGAAUCUUUGAACGCACAUUGCGCCCCUCGGUAUUCCGAGGGGCAUGCCUGUUCGAGCGUCAUUACAACCCUCAAGCUCUGCUUGGUGUUGGGCACCGCCCUUCCGCGGGCGCGCCUCAAAGACCUCGGCGGUGGCGUCUUGCCUCGAGCGUAGUAGAAAACACCUCGCUUUGGAGCGCACGGCGCCGCCCGCCGGACGAACCUUUUGAACUUUCUCAAGGUUGACCUCG